UACAGAGGUCUCAAGCGUUGUUCGGAUUCAUUGGGCGUAAAGGGUGCGUAGGCGGCGCGGUAAGUCGGAUGUGAAAUCUCGGGGCUUAACUCCGAAACUGCAUUCGAUACUACCGUGCUUGAGGACUGGAGAGGAGACUGGAAUUUACGGUGUAGCGGUGAAAUGCGUAGAUAUCGUAAGGAAGACCAGUGGCGAAGGCGAGUCUCUGGACAGUUACUGACACUGAGGCACGAAGGCCAGGGGAGCAAACGGG
This 253-nucleotide ribosomal RNA is filed under the name uncultured bacterium. Its description in RNAcentral is "partial 16S ribosomal RNA". It matches the Rfam family "Bacterial small subunit ribosomal RNA", at positions 524 to 776 of the family's 1533-position model. The record is from RNAcentral.